This 2801-nucleotide unclassified non-coding RNA is filed under the name Leishmania donovani. RNAcentral's name for it is "gene:LdHU3.32.3460(CDS-product:Complex1_LYR-like_ putative)". Lineage: Eukaryota; Euglenozoa; Kinetoplastea; Trypanosomatida; Trypanosomatidae. The record is from RNAcentral.
CCUUCUUUGACGCACUUGCGCGAGUGUCUUCGCACACUGGCAAGCGCGCAUAAAACACCGCCACUUGUGCUCGUGCGUGUGUGCCCACAUCCGCGUGCCCGCCACCUCAGCACUCCGAAGGAGGCAUUCGCCAUCCGCUUUUCUUCCUUGUGCUCUUCCCUAAAGUCAUCCCAGCUCUCCGUGAUCACCCUCACACUCUUUCUGCUCUUGAGUGCGCUGUAGUUGUGCUGUCGUACUCGUGUGGCCGCAUUGAACGCUUACUCUUGCAAGAGGGGGAGGCCGGGACCUGCAGUACAAGGACACAUCGCAGUAGCUGCGCUUGUCUAGGCACGCUAGCUCGUAGUAGCAACAAGAACCAGAGACAUUGCGUGCAUGGCGGUACACCUGGUACGGACCUACACACAGGGCUACGUAGGCACUUGAGCCAAACGGAGUAGACGAGACCUCUCUUUUCACAGGCGCACGCCGGCCUUCUUUUUUUUUUUCCUUUUCGUAGUAGUACCGUCGUGGUUGAGGGCAGUGAAGUGCGAGCGAGAGCGCGAGAGACCGCGCGUGCGCAGAGAGAGGGCGACGCAGAAUUGCACGCUUCCCCACACACGUGGCACCUUACCAACAGCCGUCGUGACUUCCUCCCUUCUGUUGCCUCCCGCCCACGCCCUCCCUUCCCCCACUCGCAUCUUCCGCCCUCGUUUCCUAGUAGCAAGCAAACGAUAAACGAGACGCGUCUUCGCCGCUGCCGUCUCCCCCUUCCUUUUACUUUCUAGUGUUUCUGUAGGUGUCUUGUCUUUGGCGGGCUCUCUAACAGCACCGCUGGGCGCUCCCCCUCUCUUGCUCUCAGCCCCACUGCAUCCGUUUUUUUUUCCUCUUUUUUUUUCGUAGUUCUCCAGCACUGCGGCACGAUAUACUUUGCGCGCUUCGGAUGUGUGCAUGGGACGCCAACAAGCAGCGCCACCAGAUCUAGGGUACGCCUCCGCUAGAGGCUUCGAUUUGCCAAGCUUAGACACACCGACACAGCCGCGAAGAACAACAAGGGGAACAUGAUGCGCCGUAGCUCGCUGCUGUUCAGUGGCGGCAUGGUGGAGUACCACGAGUGGCACCUCCACGAGCCACUGCUGCAGAACUACGAGGGGUGGCGUAUUCUCGACAACCCGAAGUACGAGCAGAAGUCUGACGCAUACAUUUACGACUUCAUGGGUAGCGUCCGACACCUCGACCCCAUCAUCGACGACCCGCGGCUGACGCACAAGCAGCGCGUUUGCCGCCUGUACCGGUGGUCAUUGAAAGAGAUUCAGAUGUGGAUGAUCCAGCUCAAUGCUCACAAGCUCAACCUUGCGCACAAGGUGAUCCGGCGGCGGUUUGAGAAGUAUCGCUACGUGACCGAUCCGGCCACGUGCGACAUGAUGGUGCGCCAGACGCAGAAGUACCUGCGCGACAACGCGAACUUUCACUACAUGCGCCGCAACAACUCCUCGCCGUGGAGCACGUACACGCUGGCGAACCCGAUGUUCCACCCGGACAACUCUCUCGUGUACGACCACUGGACGCACCCAGAGGUCAUGUGGUACGACGACGCGAAGCUGCACCGAUGGACGGCGCAUCACCCCUUGUACGCCGGCCCUGGCGAGGCGUCCGAGCGCUUCGGUGACAUGGAUGUAGCGCCGCACCUGCGUGGACUUGUGUGGGCCAUGUUCAUGAGUUUGUUUGCGUGGUGCUUCUACCAGCUGCUGGGCGGGCCAGGGAUGAGGGAUGACAAGCACUUCGAGGAGUGGACGCAGCAGUUCGACGAGAACCUUGCCGGCGCCCUCUACGCCGAGGAGCGCAAUUCGCGUUCGCGUAACAGCGUGCUCCGGGGCGACUGGGAUAGGAUCCUGGGCGUUUCUUCCACGCUGGACGGCUUCUACCGGAACAAUUUGUCUGUCGUGGACAAGGCCAACUACCCGGCGUAGUAGACUGCGCUGACGCGCACUACGAAAACAAAAACAAAGGCGCGCAUGGGGCGGCCGGUCGGCAGAUGAGGUGGGGGGCCUGCGUGCUUGCCCGUGGACGUGUGUGGGCCUGGCCGAGUCGGUUCUUCCCGUUGCGCUGUGCGCUCUUCUUGUACCUCUCCCUUUCUCUUGCUUCUUUUCUUUGGCUGCAGUAGUCUUGCCGACCCCUGUACAGUUCAAGCAGUAUCGCGCUAUCAAGCAAGACACCACCAUAGUGAUGGAGGGGAGCACAUGGCGCGCGUGGGUGGGGAGCAGCGACACCGCAGUCCGACGUUGGCGUCUGCGCGCGGAAGUGCGGGCGUGCCUAUGAUCGCGAGGUACUAGCUCUCUUGUUCUCCUUGCUGCGGUGACUAUGUGGGUGCGUGUCUUGGUGUACCUCUUCGUGGACGUCUCACGGGCUUCUCUGGCUAGGCAGCAGCGGACAGUGUUCGAUGAUGGCAGGCAGAUCACACGCACACGACAAAUAGCUGUCCAGCACUCGCAGCUGAAGUGCCGCGUGCUGCUGAGCAGGUGCUAUGAGUCGCUUCCUUCGAGUUGCCCGUCUCUCAGUGGUGCCUGCAGCUGCCUUGAUGGUGCUACAGGCUCGUUGGUAAUCCCUCUCUCUUCUUGCCCCCUGUCUUUUUCAUCCCUCUUUCUGCACCUCACCUGGAUGAUUGUCGGUGUGUGUUCGCUUGCCGUGCUCGACGUGCUCUACACAACACCGCUCUUUUUUUUUCGGUGCUUCUACUUACGGGGGCUCGUUGACGGACAAUGCCUCUCUCUUCGGUCUGAUACAUCAACGCACACCCAUAUCUCUCACACACACAUACACACAAG